Molecule: small nucleolar RNA, 100 nt
Filed under: Ancylostoma ceylanicum
Lineage: Eukaryota; Metazoa; Nematoda; Chromadorea; Rhabditida; Ancylostomatidae
Description: Small nucleolar RNA sn2524
Rfam family: Small nucleolar RNA sn2524
Source: Rfam by way of RNAcentral
UCACUUAUACAUGCGACUAGAAUCGACUCCCUCUUUUCGAUCGCUUUCCACCUUUAAAAUGUAAGCAUCAACAAAAUCGUGGCCAUCUUCCUCUAUGUGA